Non-coding RNA from Picea glauca (white spruce), 118 nucleotides. The record is from Rfam. NCBI's taxonomy places the organism in Eukaryota, Viridiplantae, Streptophyta, Pinopsida, Pinales, Pinaceae.
AUGUACAUGCCUACAACGUUAACGCACCAGAUUCCAUCAAAACAUUGUAGUUAAGUGUUCUUGAGAUAGAGUAGUAUUGGGAUGGGUGGCCUCUUGUGAAGUCCUAGUGUUUUACAUG